Molecule: non-coding RNA, 24 nt
Filed under: Arabidopsis thaliana (thale cress)
Lineage: Eukaryota; Viridiplantae; Streptophyta; Magnoliopsida; Brassicales; Brassicaceae
Source: RNAcentral
AAAGCUAUACAACAGGUGGACGAG